This 1027-nucleotide long non-coding RNA is filed under the name Linum usitatissimum (flax). RNAcentral's name for it is "long non-coding RNA (LUSI_LNC005625)". Lineage: Eukaryota; Viridiplantae; Streptophyta; Magnoliopsida; Malpighiales; Linaceae. The record is from RNAcentral.
AUAUAAAAACAACACCUGCCUUUUAGCUUAGAAAUCACAUCGAAUCCCACACUUUGUCUCGCAACGCUGCAUUCGCCUCUCUGCACGCCACCAAUAUUCACACAUGUCCAGAUAGUUAUGGUAAACAAAUAGCAACAUUAUAUGUAUGUAUCUUACAAAUAUUGGAUAACAAAACUUUCCCUAUAACCAGUUAUAAUAAAUCCUUUAUGUUCACACCAUAUUGUUUAUAAUUUUUUAAAUUAUAUAUUAAAUCAUUACUAUUCCUUUAAAUUAUUCAUACUUUAUCUCAACUUAUACAAAAAUCUUUACUAUUUUCUUAUAGAUGAAUUUCCAUGAUUUGAAGAUUUUUUAAAUAGAUGGUAACCCACCGAAUCCACCCCAACUCACAUUCAUUAUCAACUCUUAUUUAUCCUCGUCCGAUGAAUGAGUGAAUGUGGGUGAUGGAAACAAUAACCCUUGGCAGCCAACUCAUUCUUACAUGUUGAUUGUUUUCCAUCAAGUCAGCAUUCCGUCCAAGAAAUCAAACAUAAUGGUAACUAAAGAAAUUGAGUUAUAGUCUAAUAAUAUUUAGUGAAUAAAACUUAGUUUGAUAUAAUUAGUGUGACGGAAAACUAUAGUUUAAUGAUAUCCGGUCUAAAAUCAACCCACCCAAUACUCACCCCAACUCAAUCACUUGGUCACAAUACAAACAUGGUAGGUCUAUAGUACAUGUGAAAAUCGAAGAGACAGUGGACGUACCGUCUGGCAAAUAGGAAACGCAGCCAGUGGUGCAGUAAUCAUAGCAUCGGUAGCGAUCAUCCUCGUCCUGUGCGGUGCAAUACUCAAACCAGAUGCUCACAAUCAGCAACAGCACAGUCAGCCAUAUCACCGCCGAUGCCUUAUUGUUCGUCGUCGUCGUUGUCGUCUUCUUCUCCAUCCUGAUCAUACACUGUUUUUACUCUGUAUGUCCUCUGUAGUACCGACUCAUUCCUUAUAUUUAUAUAUAAAUCAAGCGUAAUGUUGUGAAACUUUGCAACUUGGAGUGAUC